Molecule: ribosomal RNA, 460 nt
Filed under: uncultured bacterium
Lineage: Bacteria
Description: partial 16S ribosomal RNA
Rfam family: Bacterial small subunit ribosomal RNA
Source: RNAcentral
CCUACGGGAGGCUGCAGUGAGGAAUAUUGGUCAAUGGACGGAAGUCUGAACCAGCCAUGCCGCGUGCAGGAAGACGGCUCUAUGAGUUGUAAACUGCUUUUGUACAAGGGUAAACCUGAAUACGUGUAUUCAGCUGAAAGUACUGUACGAAUAAGGAUCGGCUAACUCCGUUCCAGCAGCCGCGGUAAUACGGAGGAUCCAAGCGUUAUCCGGAUUUGUUGGGUUUAAAGGGUGCGUAGGCGGAUUGAUAAGUUAGAGGUGAAAUGUCCGCGCUUAACUCGGGAACUGCCUUUAAUACUGGCGAUCUAGAGAGUAUAUGAGGUAGGCGGAAUUGAUGGUGUAGCGGUGAAAUGCGUAGAGAUCAGACAGAACAUCGAUUGCGAAGGCAGCUUACCAAUCUAUAUCUGACGUUGAGGCACGAAAGCGUGGGGAGCAAACAGGAUUAGAUACCCUGGUAGUC